RNA transcript from Mauremys reevesii (Reeves's turtle), 734 nucleotides. RefSeq lists it as uncharacterized. The record is from RefSeq and is a predicted model, not a curated record. NCBI's taxonomy places the organism in Eukaryota, Metazoa, Chordata, Testudines, Geoemydidae. The transcript has 3 exons.
UCUUGGCUAGGAUGGGGGAGAGCACUGAGUCACGUGGGACUCCCUGUGGUCAGGAUUUUGGUGUUAGGGAGCGUGGCCCCCUCAGUAUCAAUGUCUGCAGUGGGGUCUAGCAGAACAGGCUGAGAGGUAGGUUUGCUGUUGGUCGCCAGAAGAAGGCUGUCCAUCAGCGAGGCCUGUUGUGUGCUGUGUCCUGGCCUGAGGCAUGGUGAUGAGUCUAGAAUGCUGGCAGAGGGCACCAUUGUCCCAGUAACCAUGGAGAAAGCCCGGCUGAGACCUGGAGCAGUAACUGGAAAUAUCUUGGAGGUGUGUAGGCUUCUAGGGCCGCAUGCUUGGUAUCUGGUAACUCCUUUGAUGGACAUGGAUCUCACUUAUGAAGAGGACCAGCCAGGUGUCCUCUGCCGGAUUUCACCAGACAUUCCUUCUUCGGAGUCUCCACAGCCUCUGAAUGGGUAACUGGCCCGAACGCCACCAGAAACGUCUUGGGCAUCUUAAAACCAAGGGGGCUGCUGCUCUUCCAAUACAAUUCAACACAGAGAGACGCUGUUUGGGUUUCACGAGCCACCCUCUUCAAAGUCCUGGGGGCGCUCUGUGUGGCGUGCGCAGGUAUUAUCGGAAGCCAGUACAUGAACACUAGCAUCUGAGACCGGGUUCCAUCGGGCCGGCUUCCUGCCCACAGGCCGCUGUCCAUCUGGAUCUUAACUACCAUCCACAAUAAAAAACAUCAUCAUGUAAGA